This 410-nucleotide ribosomal RNA is filed under the name Arenibacter sp. Its description in RNAcentral is "bacterial SSU rRNA". It matches the Rfam family "Bacterial small subunit ribosomal RNA", at positions 505 to 916 of the family's 1533-position model. Lineage: Bacteria; Pseudomonadati; Bacteroidota; Flavobacteriia; Flavobacteriales; Flavobacteriaceae. The record is from RNAcentral.
GUGCCAGCAGCCGCGGUAAUACGGAGGAUCCGAGCGUUAUCCGGAAUCAUUGGGUUUAAAGGGUCCGUAGGCGGGCCAUUAAGUCAGGGGUGAAAGUCUGCGGCUCAACCGUAGAAUUGCCCUUGAUACUGGUGGUCUUGAGUUAUGGUGAAGUAACUAGAAUAUGUAGUGUAGCGGUGAAAUGCAUAGAUAUUACAUAGAAUACCGAUUGCGAAGGCAGGUUACUAACCAUAUACUGACGCUGAUGGACGAAAGCGUGGGGGAGCGAACAGGAUUAGAUACCCUGGUAGUCCACGCCGUAAACGAUGGAUACUAGCUGUCCGGAUGCAAAUCUGGGCGGCCAAGCGAAAGUGAUAAGUAUCCCACCUGGGGAGUACGUCCGCAAGGAUGAAACUCAAAGGAAUUGACGG